RNAcentral lists this long non-coding RNA (364 nucleotides) under Manihot esculenta (cassava). Its description in RNAcentral is "long non-coding RNA (MESC_LNC007119)". The record is from RNAcentral. Lineage: Eukaryota; Viridiplantae; Streptophyta; Magnoliopsida; Malpighiales; Euphorbiaceae.
UAUACAAGCCCAAUGAACAGAACUAUAUAAACCAUAAGUUGAAAACAUGAUCUCAUGGAAUGCACUACAGCACAUCAUCUCAGGGAUCAGACAUGACCACCAACAAUCCCACUCAAAGGAUGCCUGGCCUAGCCAGGUCUUACAACCUCAAUCUGCCUGGCCCGGCCAGGUCUUACCACUCUGCCUGCCUGGCCCAGCCAGGUCUUACUAUCUCUGCUGCCUGAUCUAGUCAGGUCUUACCUACAGAUGGCUGCCUGGCCCGGCCAGGUCUUAUAACAGAGUUUGGGCUAUUGGAGUCGCCUUGGUCUAUCCACAGCCUCAUACGCAUCGUAUAUGCAAUGCAGCAUAUUCGUGAAACUAAUGC